GAUGAAGAACGCAGCGAAAUGCGAAAAGUAAUGUGAAUUGUAGAAUUCAGUGAAUCAUCGAAUCUUUGAACGCACAUUGCGCCCGCCAGUAUUCUGGCGGGCAUGCCUGUCUGAGCGUCAUUUCAACCCUCACGCCCCUAGGGCGUGGUGUUGGGGAUCGGCCAGCGCCCGCGAGGACAAGGCCGUCCCCCAAAUCUAGUGGCGGACCCGUCGUGGCCUCCCCUGCGAAGUAGUGAUAUUCCGCAUAGGAGAGCGACGAGCCCCUGCCGUUAAACCCCCAACUUUCUCAGGUUGACCUCAGAUCAGGUAGGAAUACCCGCUGAACUUAAGCAUAUCAAUAAGCGGAGGA
This 349-nucleotide unclassified non-coding RNA is filed under the name soil metagenome. RNAcentral describes it as "partial contains 5.8S ribosomal RNA, internal transcribed spacer 2, and large subunit ribosomal RNA". The stretch from base 1 to 120 matches the Rfam family "5.8S ribosomal RNA", at positions 35 to 154 of the family's 154-position model. The record is from RNAcentral.